This is a long non-coding RNA of Hippocampus comes (tiger tail seahorse), 279 nucleotides long. RefSeq lists it as uncharacterized. The record is from RefSeq and is a predicted model, not a curated record. The transcript has 2 exons. NCBI's taxonomy places the organism in Eukaryota, Metazoa, Chordata, Actinopteri, Syngnathiformes, Syngnathidae.
UGGGGGUAGACAUUUGUAACAUGGUCAAAAGCUGCACCUUUAGCAGUUUGCAUCAUGAAAGUCAUGAAGGGGGUCGACGGGGGUGUUGAAGCCGACGACGAUGAAGCGCGUCCGCCAUCGAUUGUCUAUUUGUCUCCACAGCCCACAGGAGCAAAGGGGCUGGCGUUGCUUCACUGAAGGCUGCGGCCCGCGACAGGCGGCCCGGUGACGGAGGUCAGCGGACACAUCGGUGGAUGGAAGUAAUUUCCACUCCCGCCAAAAAAAAAAACAAACAAACAA